AGAGUUUGAUCCUGGCUCAGGACGAACGCUGGCGGCGUGCCUAACACAUGCAAGUCGAGCGGGGAACUUCGGUUCCCAGCGGCGGACGGGUGAGUAACACGUGGGUAACCUGCCUCAAAGAGGGGGAUAGCCUCCCGAAAGGGAGAUUAAUACCGCAUAACAUUAUUUUCUCGCAUGAGAAGAUAAUCAAAGGAGCAAUCCGCUUUGAGAUGGACCCGCGGCGCAUUAGCUAGUUGGUGAGGUAACGGCUCACCAAGGCGACGAUGCGUAGCCGGCCUGAGAGGGUGAACGGCCACAUUGGAACUGAGAUACGGUCCAGACUCCUACGGGAGGCAGCAGUGGGGAAUAUUGCACAAUGGGCGAAAGCCUGAUGCAGCAACGCCGCGUGAGUGAUGAAGGCCUUCGGGUUGUAAAGCUCUGUCUUCUGGGACGAUAAUGACGGUACCAGAGGAGGAAGCCACGGCUAACUACGUGCCAGCAGCCGCGGUAAUACGUAGGUGGCAAGCGUUGUCCGGAUUUACUGGGCGUAAAGGAUGCGUAGGCGGAUACUUAAGUCAGAUGUGAAAAUCCCGGGCUUAACUUGGGAACUGCAUUUGAAACUGGGUAUCUAGAGUGUGGGAGAGGAAAGUGGAAUUCCUAGUGUAGCGGUGAAAUGCGUAGAGAUUAGGAAGAACACCAGUGGCGAAGGCGACUUUCUGGACCAUAACUGACGCUGAGGCAUGAAAGCGUGGGGAGCAAACAGGAUUAGAUACCCUGGUAGUCC
Molecule: ribosomal RNA, 763 nt
Filed under: uncultured bacterium
Lineage: Bacteria
Description: bacterial SSU rRNA
Rfam family: Bacterial small subunit ribosomal RNA
Source: RNAcentral